UUCAAUUUAAAAUAUUUAUGCAUUUUAUAAAACUGUAUCUUCUACACCAUAAUUAUCUAUGUAAUAUUUAGUACAAACCGAACAUUUUUAUUUUAAUGUUUGAAAACUUUUAUUGUUUUCCUGUAAUUAAAUUUUGAAUUUGUUUCGGUUUUGAAUUAUCUAGGGUUUAUCAACAGUAACCGAGGUGACGUGGCAUCAUUAGCGGGGGAUCACUGUAGCUUAAUUAUCCGGGUGUCACAAUUCUCCUCCACUACAAGAAAUCUCGUUCCGAGAUUUAAGAGGGGGACUAAGGGGGAAAGGUCUGGUUACGAAAUCCUAACGAAUCUUCUCGGUCUUGGUUGCUCUUCUCGAACAGGUCGAUCCAUAGCGUCGAUGUCUUCAUUCCUAUGCAUCAAUGCAUCAUGAUGAAGUUGUUGUCCUUUCUUCGGGAACUCCAUCGUACUUACAAAAUGGUAAGAAGGGAAAACUCUAUAUGGAUGGAUUCUAUCAAGAUCGAGCAUCAGACGGUUAACUCAGGGAAGAAGCAUAAGUAUCUCUCGAAUUGAAACUUAAGAAGAUAUCGAGAGCAAAGUAAGAAGGUACCAUGAGAAGUUUCAAACGGAUAGGCAAUCGUUGGAUGCCCAAUUAGAAGGUGAAAGGGUUUCAGGGCAACGAGAAUAGGUAUUGCGCCACAUACCAGAAUAGGUCACUAGACAGGUGGCCUGUGAAUUACAUAUGAAGUCAAGCGCGAGGAAUAACUUUGACAACAGGGUGUACAGGUGAGUCAGGUUUCGAUCCUGUGGAACUGUGGGUUAUGGGCCCACCAUGUGGUUCUUUUCUUUUCUUUUUAAUAGGAGCAGUGACAUCUUGCACGGUCAUGAUAGCAAGGCAUGUCAGGGAAUACCAUGUCAGCUAUGUCGGCAAUAACGUUGGUACCAAGGGCGAGGGACGAAGAGAACCAUUUUCAUGCUCGUUGAAACGAGGCGGACCAAUAGGCAAAGUUCUCGUCCAUCGGUGGUUAUCGGAAUGUCAUCAACAAUAGAAACAGGGUCUUACUGACACGGUUGUACACCAAGGUGUGUACUUAAGCAGAAGAAUAUUACUGCUUAAAUCAUAUGGAUCACGAGGAAGAUUUAAACAAAUCAAUGGAAAGGAAAAUGUGAUCAUCAGAUUAAAUAGAGCAAUGGAAAGGAAAAUGUGUUUAAACACAUUAUUCAGGGUUAUAUCCUUCGCUAAGGACAAACAGAUCAUGAUAUCCACAACAGGAUAUAAUGUAGAAAACCCUUUAGGAAAGGGGAGAGAAACUUCAUGACAUUACCCAUACAACGGUGUUUGGAUAAUUGAUAAAGAGAAUUCAACGUUGUGCUUCAAAUGUUCUUAUUGAUGGUCGGAGUACCACCGACAUGCUUCGAGAUAGCAUUGACAUGGUCAACAGGUAAAGAUCGGGCUAUGGAUACAUACGGGAUCCAUCGGGAUCAACUUAUAGAAUAAGUCUUAUAAUUUCCUCAGGGAAGAAUGGUUAACCUUGCUAAUAAGGAAACUAUAACAGCAGGUCAUCCGGCCAGGUGUGCUGGACAUGCCAUCACCUUACCGGGUCAUAAAAGACCAGUGUUAUAACUCUUGAAAAUAUGUUCUCACCAUCAUAUCUGACCGAGGUGCAGAUCUAAUUGGUGUCAUGAUACCUCAGACUCAGGAUGUCCGAGAAGAAAAGGUGAAACACAAAUAGUCGAAAUGACACUGCAAGAUUCUCGGGAAAUGAACCAUGGGAGAGGGUUCCUGGAAUAAUAGUUCAUCAUUAAACCAAGGAGGGGAUGAGAAGGUGGCUGAUGGGCUCACCGACAAUUCAUCGAGAAUUUCAAACGGAUGGCUUUCCAUAAUAAUGUGAACAAGAAGAUGACACUAGUCAAUUCAAAUGAUAAUGUUGUAUGCUCUAGGAAAACAUACACCAUCAAUCAUAGUUGAAAGGGGCAACCGAAAUGUGGGCUUAUAGUAGCAUGAUCAACGUUAGAAUGGUGGUUCAGCAACCAAUAGGCUAAGAAUGAAUUAUCGAUCAUUAACUCCAAAGCAAUAGGGUUGCUAGAAGGGUAAAAUCCAAACAGCACCGUUCACUUGUUGGUACCCCGGUUGGAAUCAAUACGAGGACCAAGAAAGAAUGGUCAUGGUGAGAAGUAUCACUAUACCAAGAAUUCUUAAGUGGUGGAGCAAUCCUCAAAACAUUCUUGACAUCAAAGAUGGUAAUACUCCGCGGUAGAACAUAACAUAAGUUGGAUAGCAAGGAACUCAAGGUACAGCACAAAACAGGAACAAGUUUUGUGUUGGAGGGAAUGCAAUAAUGUUGUCGAUGAUAACCCAAAUCAUCGAGGGUAAAGGAUGCUAUUUCUCAUCAAGAAUUUGAUAGAUAUCUUGGAAGACCUCAUAAGGUUGAUGAUGUUCACGACACAUUUGUCGAGAGAUUUCAAGAUGUAAACAAUCAGCAACGACAUCGAGUCAAAGAAAUGAUGAAGCGGAAGGUCAUUGGAACCAUGGGUAGGACACAAACUUUAAAUCAAGCUUGUUGUUCAAGGUGAACUGAUAUGACGAGGAAGAUCGACGUAAGCUUAGCUCAUCAUCAAAAGUUGUGCUCCGGGAUUAAGGACCAGGUAGCACAGUUAAAAUUUAGCACAAUAAUGAUAUAGCCGAUCAGGCUAGGAAUGACUUGAAGGAUUAUUAAACUCGUAAGCAACAAGAAUUACUUAGAGUUAUUGAAUCAGAGUGCGGAAUCGAUUCACUUAUCGGUGUUCUCGAGUGACUAAUAACUCAGAACCUGGGGGGAUCCAAGAUCGGUGAGAAACAAUACUAGAUGAAGACUCGCAGGAAGCAACACAGUACUCGAGAUACCAGAGGUUAAUACUCGAGGAAGAUCAAAAAUAGAGGUUGCAGAGAUGUAUCGAUCAACAAAAGACAAGUGCUUUAACUUGUCUGAGAAAUGGAAUCAAGGAGAAAAUGUGGUUGGGAUCAUGAUUGAAAAUGAUCAAUACAUAGAUACCAGAUGAUGUCAUAUCAAGGAAAUAGUUAAUAUUGCAAGAAUCUUCUAUGAUAGGAUCUACAUCAUGUCCAUGGGCAUGAACACAAAGUUCAAGGUCGACUCCCACUUCUUUAAUGCAUAACCUUUCAUUUACUUCUCACUUUCGAAGAAGUUGUAGUGUUGAAAUUUCAUCUGGCAAAAUACCAGAAGUGUAUGACUCGUGAAAACUUUCGAGUUCACACGGUUUUAGAGAAGGUUGUAUAGGUUCAACCCAUCGGGGUUUCUUAGAAACAUAUACCACAAGUUUCAAGAGUAAAUAUCACAAGCUCGAAAGUAGAGCAUGGUUAGCAAAACAGAGGAUACAAUUUACCAAAGGUAUCACAUACCCAUGGAGAGGCUCACAAGGUUAUUGAAUAGGAAGGACACUGCCGGACAAUAAUCCAACAAGGGGUCCUAUGGUCUACAAUGGAGCUGAUGCGAGUAUCGGUACUCUAUCUGAGGAAGAUAGAAUGAAAGGGCAUCAGAUUAGCAUUUCCAAAUCAAGGGAUCAAAAGCCAACGCUCUCAUUAAGAAUGGAUCAGUCGAAUAGACUUAGGGGUACAAUCGACGACAAUUUGAUUUGUCGAUAACCAGCUCAUGUUUAAAAUGACGUGUGAGCCGGAAGGAUGAAUCAUUGGAUCUGAUUGAGGAUGGCGAGCAUUCACAACAUUUUGAAUCAACGGACUCAAAAUGAUAAUGACAAGAGAUGCCAAUAAAAUUAUAGACUUAUGGGAUUAACCAUAAUGCAAGCAAGUAAGAACUUCAAGAGUAAUAGGCUACUCAGGAUUUUCGGAAGUUCAAAUAGUAUUUUGAAGACUUUUGUGAAAUACAUGAACCAACUGGGGAUGAGCAAAUAUCCGGUGAGUGCUAGAAAUUACCCAUAGUGGUAUUCAUGUGGCAAAGAAAUGCAAGGCAGUAGGCACAAAGUAUUCUCAGAACAAUAGAGAGAAUUUUGGGGCAUCUUGUAAUAACAAGAUCAAUGAGGAAUGAUUAUAUGAAUGGCACGUGUACGUGGUUAUCCAUAGAGGUUUAACGAUAGAAGGGAAUUGCAAAAGCAACACGCACAAGGUCUCGACAGAAUAUCGGAGAGUAUCUUCGAAAUCUUCUAGUGCAGCCGGCGAUCAUCUGGACUGAAGGGGCUCUCCGGGAGAAAGUAUUUUCGAGAACCUAAGUUAGAUUUUUAGUAAAUUCAUUAAACCCGAAUAGGAGAGAGUUCAGAGUCCCAGAGUAAGGAUCGAGGAGUAAAAGAGUCUAAUACCACCCAGAUGGCGAUGUGGGCCCGUAAGGCACACAACCAUGUUAGUAAAAGUUUUUGUAAUGUCUAGACUCAACUUCGGCCAAGGAGAGUGGAAGGGGAAUUCCUACAGGCAGUCGGCUCUGAUAUCAACUUGUGACGCCCCCGAUUUAAUCGUACACUAAUCAUACACGCAAACGUGUACGAUCAAGAUCAGGGAAUCACGGGAAGAUAUCACAACACAACUCUACAAAUAAAAUAAGUCAUACAAUCAUCAUAUUACAAGCCAGGGGCCUCGAGGGCUCGAAUACAAGAGCUCGAUCAUAGACGAGUCAGCGGAAGCAACAAUAUCUGAGUACAGACAUAAGUUAAACAAGUUUGCCUUAAGAAGGCUAGCACAAACUGGGAUACAGAUCAAAAGAGGCGCAGGCCUCCUGCCUGGGAUCCUCCUAAACUACUCCUGGUCGCCGUCAGCGGGCUGCACGUAGUAGUAGGCACCUCUCGAGUAGUAGUAGUCGUCGUCGAAGGGGGUGUCUGGCUCCUGGGCUCCAACAUCUGGUUGCGACAACCAAGUAGAAGGGAUAGGGGGAAAAGAGGGAGAAAGCAACCGUGAGUACUCAUCCAAAGUACUCGCAAGCAAGGAGCUACACUACAUAUGUAUGCAUUGGUAUCAACUGGAAUAAGGCUAUUAUAUGUGGACUGAACUGCAGAAAGCCGGGAUAAGGGGGGAUAGCUGGUCCUUUCGAAGACUACGCUUCUGGCAGCCUCCGUCUUGCAGCAUGUAAAAGAGAGUAGACUGAAGUCCUCCAAGUAUCAUCACAUAGCAUAAUCCUAACCGAUGAUCCUCCCCUCGUCGCCCUGUGAGAGAGCGAUCACCGGUUGUAUCUGGCACUUGGAAGGGUGUGUUUUAUUAAGUAUCAGGUUCUAGUUGUCAUAAGGUCAAGGUACAACUCCAAGUCGUCCUGUUACCGAAGAUCAUGGCUAUUCGAAUAGAUUAACUUCUCUGCAGGGGUGCACCACAUAUCCCAACACGCUCGAUCCCAUUUGGCCGGACACACUUUCCUGGGUCAUGCCCGGCCUCGGAAGAUCAACACGUCGCAGCCCUACCUAGGCACAACAGAGAGGUCAGCACGCCGGUCUAAAUCCUAUGGCGCAGGGGUCUGGGCCCAUCGCCCAUUGCACACCUGCACGUUGCGUACGCGGCCGGAAGCGGAACUGGCCCCCUUAAUACAAGAGCAGGCUUACGGUCCAAUCCGGCGCGCGCCACUCAGUCGCUGACGUCACGAAGGCUUCGGCUGAUACCACGACGUCGAGUGCCCAUAACUGUCCCCGCGUAGAUGGUUAGUGCAUAUAGGCCAGUAGCCAGACUCAGAUCAAAUACCAAGAUCUCGUUAAGCGUGUUAAGUAUCCGCGAAUGCCGACCAGGGACAGGCCCACCUCUCUCCUAGGUGGUCUCAACCGGCCCUGUCGCUCCGCCACAAAGUAUCAGUCGGGGGCCGUCGGGAACCCAGGCCCACCUCUACCGGGAUGGAGCCACCUGCCCCUUCAGCCCCAACUCCGAACGGUACCACAGGUAAUGUAACAGUGUAAAGUAUAUAGUAUAUGCCCAUGAUCACCUCCCGAGGUGAUCACGGCCCAGUAGUAUAGCGUGGCAGACGGACAAGAGUGUAGGGCCACUGAUGAUAAUCUAGCAUCCUAUACUAAGCAUUUAGGAUUGCAGGUAAGGUAUCAAUAGUUGUAGCAACAAUGACAGGCUAUGCAUCAGGAUAGGAUUAACAGAAAGCAGUAACAUGCUACACUACUCUAAUGCAAGCAGUAGAGAGAAGAGUAGGCGAUAUCUGAUGAUCAGAAAGGGGGGCUUGCCUGGUUGCUCAGACAAGAAGGAGGGGUCGUCGGUGACGUAGUCGACCACAGGGGCAUCAUCAUCGUCACUGGGUCUACCGGAAAGAAUUAACGGAGGGGGAACGCAAUAAAUAACAGAGCAAUCAAAGUAUAACAUGGCAAUGCGCGGUGCUAAAGGUGACCUAACGCGGUAUGAGGUGAUACCGGUGAAGGGGGGAAACAUCCGGGAAAGUAUCCCCGGCGUUUCGCGUUUUCGGGCAGAGGAGCCGGAGGGGGAAAGUUGCGAGUUUGAUAUGUUAGGAGUGUGUGGCGGACGAACGGGCUGCGUAUCCGGGUUCGUCUCGUCGUUCUAAGCAACUUUCAUGUACAAAGUUUUUCGAUCCGAGCUACGGUUUAUUUUAAAAUGAUUUUCUAAAGUUUUAUUAAUUUUUGGAAUUAAUUAUUUUCAACAUUAUCCAGAACAGUAAAGGAUGACGUCAGCAUGACAUCAUGCUGAUGUCGGCAGUCAACUGUGCAGUUGACUGGGUCAACUAUGUGUGGGUCCCGCAUGUCAUUGAUUGAUUAGGCUAAACAGGGGUUAAUUAAGUUAACUAGUAAUUAGGUUAAUCUAAUCAAGAUUAAUUAAUUUAAUUUAAUUAAUUCUUUAAUUAAUUAAUUUAAUAAUUAUUAUUUAUUUAAUUAUCUUUAUUAUCAUUUUUUUAAUUCUUUUUUUUAAUUAAAACAUUCUGGGCAUGGGGCCCAUCUGUCAUAGGCCCCAGGGGCCGAUGCGGGUUUGCAGGCGCUACAGGCGCCCGUGCGGGCGCUCGCCCGCAGGGAGCGGCGGGGCGAGGCCAAGUCACGGCGGCCGCGAUGGCCAACGGCGCGGCGGCGUGGGUGGUGCAGGGGAUGGAGUGCGGGGCCGGCGACGAGCGCCUGCCCGCCCGGCAGGGCGCUACGGGGCAGCAGGCGAAAAGGGGGGGCUUGCGGGCUGGCGCCGGCAACCGUGGAGGUGGCCGCGACCGAGGCAGGCGGCUGGGGCGCGCUAGCCUAGCGCGGGCACGGCUGGGCGAAGCCAGCGCGGCCAAGGCGCGUAGUGAGUGAGGGAGCGGGGCGGGGCGCCGGCUGUAGUGGCCGCGGCAGCGGCAACAGCAGCGCACAGCACGGGGGGCGCAGUAGCGGUAGGUAGACGCGAGUGUAGCGGGCAGGGGCCAGGGAGCGGAGCUCCAAGCGCGGCGGCGCUGCAGACGGGAGUGGAGCAGGCGCGCAGCAGUGGGGUAGCGACGCGGGGAGGCGUGCAGCGUCUGGACGGCAUCGCCAGCGAAGCGAGGCUGGCGCGCGGGUGCGCGCGUGCUCACCGCGAGCACGAGCACCGGGCGGCGCGUGCACGACUGCGGGACGGUGCGAGGAGCAACGAGGAAGAGAGCCCGGGGGCCUCACCGCGGAUUCGUAGGGUCAAGGCAGCGGGGCUCGGGGAGGUCGACGGGGACGACGCGCGAUGGGGAGGCAGGCCGGCGGGGAGGAGGACGGGGACGUGUCGACGACGGAGAGGCAAGCGGCGUGGUUCCGGCGACAGGAUCCGGGGAGCGUCAGGCGAGGGCGGGUGUUGACGAGGCGGCGGGGUCGUGCCCCGAUCCGAUCUGGAUCGGGGGGCAGAGGGGGCGCGUAGUGGGGGAAUUGGGUGAUUGGGAGGUUAGGGUUUCUGGUCGGGGUGGGGUUAUGGGGAGUGUGGGGGAGUGGCCGGUUGGGCCUUUGCCCAGUUGGGCCGGUGGCCGAAUGGGCCGGCCAGUUGGGUCGGCUGGCCCGGGGGGGUUCUUUUUCCCUCUUUGUUUGUUUGUUUGUUUGUUUUCUGUUUUCUUUUAUUAUUUCUUUCUUUUCUGUUUUAAUUCAAUUUAAAAUAUUUAUGCAUUUUAUAAAACUGUAUCUUCUACACCAUAAUUAUCUAUGUAAUAUUUAGUACAAACCGAACAUUUUUAUUUUAAUGUUUGAAAACUUUUAUUGUUUUCCUGUAAUUAAAUUUUGAAUUUGUUUCGGUUUUGAAUUAUCUAGGGUUUAUCAACAGUAACCGAGGUGACGUGGCAUCAUUAGCGGGGGAUCACUGUAGCUUAAUUAUCCGGG
This 8192-nucleotide long non-coding RNA is filed under the name Triticum aestivum (bread wheat). RNAcentral describes it as "long non-coding RNA (TAES_LNC026313)". Lineage: Eukaryota; Viridiplantae; Streptophyta; Magnoliopsida; Poales; Poaceae. The record is from RNAcentral.